RNAcentral lists this ribosomal RNA (1429 nucleotides) under metagenome. RNAcentral's name for it is "bacterial SSU rRNA". It matches the Rfam family "Archaeal small subunit ribosomal RNA". The record is from RNAcentral.
GUUGAUCCUGCGGGAGAUUGCUACUAUUAGGGUUCGAAUUAACCAUGCAAGUUCAGGCUCUCUUCGGAGAACCGGCAGAAUGCUUAGGAACACGUCGAUAAUCUGCCUUUAGGUCAGGGAUAACCUUGGGAAACUGAGGAUAACACCUGAUAGGAUGUUAUCAUUGGAAUAUUAACAUCUCAAACAUUAGGCCUAAGGAUGAGUCGGCGGCCGAUUAGGCUGUUGGUGAGGUAAAGGCUCACCAAACCUGAGAUCGGUAGGGGCCAUGAGAGCGGUCGCCCCAAGAAGGACACUGAGAUACUGGUCCUAGCCCUACGGGGUGCAGCAGGUGCGAAGUCUCUACAAUGCACGAAAGUGCGAUAGGGGAACCCUAAGUCUUAUGCUCUGCAUAGGCUUUUGCCAAGAGUAAAUAUCUUGGCGAAUAAGUGAUGGGCAAGACUGGUGCCAGCAGCCGCGGUAACACCAGCGUCGCUAGUAGGGAUCGUUUUUAUUUGGCCUAAAGCGUCCGUAGCUGGAUUAAUAAGUUUCUUGUGAAAUCAUUGGGCCUAACUCAAUGGCGUGCAGGAAAGACUGUUAGUCUAGAAACCGGGAGAGGUUAGAGGUAUGGAUUGGGGAGCGGUAAAAUGCUAUAAUCCUUUCCAGACCACCUGUGGCAAAGGCGUCUAACCAGAACGGAUUUGACAGUGAGGGACAAAAGCCAGGGGAGCAAACCGGAUUAGAUACCCGAGUAGUCCUGGCCGUAAACACUGCGAGCUAGGUGUUGUGCAUUCCUCGAGAAUGCACAGUGUCGAAGCGAAGGCAUUAAGCUCGCCGCCUGGGAAGUGCAGUCGCAAGACCGAAACUUAAAGGAAUUGGCGGGGGCGCACCACAAGGGGUGCGGCGUGCGGUUUAAUCUAAUUCAACACAGAGAAUCUCACCAUAGGCGACGGCAGAAUGAAAGUCAGUCUAAAGGGCUUACUUGACGAGCCGAGAGGUAGUGCAUGGCCGCCGUCAGCUCGUGCCGCAAGGUGUCCUGUUAAGUCAGGCAACGAGCAAGACCUAUACCUACAGUUGCUAACAAGUUCUUUAGAAUGAUUGAGCACACUGUAGGGACUGCCUUGGAAACAAGGAGGAAGGUGUAGGCAACGGUAGGUCUGUAUGCUCCGAAUCCUAUGGGCUACACGCGCGCAACAAUGGUAGAGACAAUGGGAUGCAACUCUGAAAAGAGAAGCUAAACCUCUAAACUCUAUCUCAGUUCAGAUUGAGGAUUGUAACUCAUCCUCAUGACGCUGGAAUCCCUAGUAAUCGGACUUUAUCAGAGUCCGGUGAAUAUGUCCCUGCGCCUUGCACACACCGCCCGUCAUUCCAUCCGAGCAGGGUUUUGGUGAGGCUUAAUUUUCAAUUAAGUCGAGCCUAAGCUCAGUGAGGCGGGACAAGUCGUCACAAGGUA